CCAACCAUAGCUCAGUUGGUAGAGCGGAGGACUGUAGCGUGUGACAUCACAGUAAUCCUUAGGUCGCUGGUUCGAAUCCGGCUGGUUGGA
Non-coding RNA from Brugia malayi, 90 nucleotides. The record is from Rfam. Lineage: Eukaryota; Metazoa; Nematoda; Chromadorea; Rhabditida; Onchocercidae.